Molecule: ribosomal RNA, 506 nt
Filed under: uncultured bacterium
Lineage: Bacteria
Description: partial 16S ribosomal RNA
Rfam family: Bacterial small subunit ribosomal RNA
Source: RNAcentral
AUUGAACGCUGGCGGCAGGCCUAACACAUGCAAGUCGAACGGUAACAGGAAACAGCUUGCUGUUUCGCUGACGAGUGGCGGACGGGUGAGUAAUGUCUGGGAAACUGCCUGAUGGAGGGGGAUAACUACUGGAAACGGUAGCUAAUACCGCAUAACGUCGCAAGACCAAAGAGGGGGACCUUCGGGCCUCUUGCCAUCGGAUGUGCCCAGAUGGGAUUAGCUAGUAGGUGGGGUAACGGCUCACCUAGGCGACGAUCCCUAGCUGGUCUGAGGGGAGGACCAGCCACACUGGAACGGGAAAACGGGCCAGACUCCUACGGGAGGCAGCAGUGGGGAAUAUUGCACAAUGGGCGCAAGCCUGAUGCAGCCAUGUCGCGUGUAUGAAGAAGGCCUUCGGGUUGUAAAGUACUUUCAGCGGGGAGGAAGGGAGUAAAGUUAAUACCUUUGCUCAUUGACGUUACCCGCAGAAGAAGCACCGGCUAACUCCGUGCCAGCCGCCGCCGUAA